CUGUGCAGCCGGGGAAGUAGCGGGGCCCUGUACCUGAAGUCCGCUCUAGCAGGGGUGAUGCCAAUCUGAGGAUUUCGUUUUGUGGAGCAGCCCUUUCAGGGCAGCGUUGACGUUUGGGUCUCACGCAGCGGAAACCUGUGAACCGUGUCAGGGUGGGAACACAGCAGCACUAAGCAGGACCUUUCGAGUGCCGUGAGGGUGCCUGGACUGAGUCAGCCGGAAAGGUAACGUCCGGGGAACGAUUUUCGAGGUGCGGCGCACAU
RNAcentral lists this signal recognition particle RNA (263 nucleotides) under Lachnospiraceae bacterium. Its description in RNAcentral is "signal recognition particle sRNA large type". It matches the Rfam family "Bacterial large signal recognition particle RNA". Rfam says of the family: The signal recognition particle (SRP) is a universally conserved ribonucleoprotein involved in the co-translational targeting of proteins to membranes. The record is from RNAcentral. Lineage: Bacteria; Bacillati; Bacillota; Clostridia; Lachnospirales; Lachnospiraceae.